Molecule: ribosomal RNA, 570 nt
Filed under: bacterium 25-L049640-122-012-A04
Lineage: Bacteria
Description: bacterial SSU rRNA
Rfam family: Bacterial small subunit ribosomal RNA
Source: RNAcentral
UCGACGAUGAAGCCCUUCGGGGUGGAUUAGUGGCGAACGGGUGAGUAACACGUGGGCAAUCUGCCCUUCACUCUGGGACAAGCCCUGGAAACGGGGUCUAAUACCGGAUAAUACUCGUCUCCUCCUGGGGGCGGGUUGAAAGCUCCGGCGGUGAAGGAUGAGCCCGCGGCCUAUCAGCUUGUUGGUGGGGUAAUGGCCUACCAAGGCGACGACGGGUAGCCGGCCUGAGAGGGCGACCGGCCACACUGGGACUGAGACACGGCCCAGACUCCUACGGGAGGCAGCAGUGGGGAAUAUUGCACAAUGGGCGAAAGCCUGAUGCAGCGACGCCGCGUGAGGGAUGACGGCCUUCGGGUUGUAAACCUCUUUCAGCAGGGAAGAAGCGAGAGUGACGGUACCUGCAGAAGAAGCGCCGGCUAACUACGUGCCAGCAGCCGCGGUAAUACGUAGGGCGCAAGCGUUGUCCGGAAUUAUUGGGCGUAAAGAGCUCGUAGGCGGCUUGUCACGUCGGGUGUGAAAGACCGGGGCUCAACUCCGGUUCUGCAUUCGAUACGGGCUAGCUAGAGUGUG